This 323-nucleotide ribosomal RNA is filed under the name Chalcopsitta scintillata (yellow-streked lory). RNAcentral's name for it is "partial large subunit ribosomal RNA". It matches the Rfam family "Bacterial large subunit ribosomal RNA", at positions 2187 to 2593 of the family's 2925-position model. Lineage: Eukaryota; Metazoa; Chordata; Aves; Psittaciformes; Psittaculidae. The record is from RNAcentral.
CAAAAUCAAUAGCCACCACACACCUAACCCCUAACCUACUGGCCCACCACCAAACAACGCUGGCUAAUAUUUUUAGGUUGGGGCGACCUUGGAGAAAAACAGAACCUCCAAAAUCAAGGCCACAACCCUUAACCAAGAGCCACCCCUCAACGUACCAACAGUGCUCAGACCCAAUAAAAUUGAUCAAUGGACCAAGCUACCCCAGGGAUAACAGCGCAAUCUCCCCCAAGAGCCCCUAUCGACGAGGAGGUUUACGACCUCGAUGUUGGAUCAGGACAUCCUAGUGGUGCAGCCGCUACUAAGGCUCGUUGUCAACGAUAUUG